AUCUCAGGCCAAGGAUGUCAUCGAAGA
Molecule: non-coding RNA, 27 nt
Filed under: Cricetulus griseus (Chinese hamster)
Lineage: Eukaryota; Metazoa; Chordata; Mammalia; Rodentia; Cricetidae
Source: RNAcentral